UAGAAGUUACGAGUUAGAACAUAGAAGAGACGAGCAGUGAGCUUCGUCGACCGACGUGGACCCUAGCACUUGCGAUCCCAUCCUUUAGCCUUCGCCCUGUUCGCUGGACAUCUCGGCCUUCAUCGGCGACGACGAAAGCUUGAAGCCUCUUCUCUCUCUGAGACUCUUCAUUGCUCAACAUACCUAACAUCAGUCACAUUGUAAUCAUCGAGUAGAGUGAGAGUGAGAAAUGGGAAAGCAAUUGGGACCAACUGGAGAGUUCUUUAAGAGAAGGGACGAGUGGAGAAAGCACCCAAUGCUGACGAAUCAGUUGAGGCAUGCGACUCCUGGCCUUGGCAUUGCGUUGGUUGCUUUUGGCAUUUAUUGCAUUGGUGAAGCUGCCUACAAUAAGUUCUACACUCCUACCUCACACUCAUCUGCAUCUUCUCAUUCUCACUGACCCUCUCCUGCCAUUGUCACUAAUGUCUCUCAGUAGUCAAAGGCGCAAGGCACACCGAGGUGCAAAGGGUACUUGGAGCCGAAGACCGAAGUGCAGGGCGAAAGUGUGCGCCUCACAAAGAUGAAUGCUUGGGGGAAGAAUCAAUGCUUGGAUGGCAUAUCCUGUUUCCUUUUUUCUUUUGGUGCUGAAUAAAGAUUUUGUAUCUGUCCUGAGACUUGAAUUCUGGUAAACUUACCUUUAAUAUGUUACAAUGUUAAACUUGUAGCCUACUUUUAGAGCGGAAGGUUUGCUAAGUGGUUUGUUUAUGUUGCUACUCCUGGAACUACAUUGAUGUCUUAAGCUGAUUUUAUGUUGUGGUUUUGGCAA
Malania oleifera is the source of this 805-nucleotide RNA transcript. It is a transcript of the gene named NADH dehydrogenase [ubiquinone] 1 beta subcomplex subunit 3-B-like, with no coding region annotated. The transcript is spliced from 4 exons. The record is from RefSeq and is a predicted model, not a curated record. Lineage: Eukaryota; Viridiplantae; Streptophyta; Magnoliopsida; Santalales; Ximeniaceae.